This 87-nucleotide transfer RNA is filed under the name Flavobacteriaceae bacterium. Its description in RNAcentral is "tRNA-Ser". It matches the Rfam family "tRNA". Rfam says of the family: Transfer RNA (tRNA) molecules are approximately 80 nucleotides in length. Their secondary structure includes four short double-helical elements and three loops (D, anti-codon, and T loops). Further hydrogen bonds mediate the characteristic L-shaped molecular structure. tRNAs have two regions of fundamental functional importance: the anti-codon, which is responsible for specific mRNA codon recognition, and the 3' end, to which the tRNAs corresponding amino acid is attached (by aminoacyl-tRNA synthetases). tRNAs cope with the degeneracy of the genetic code in two manners: having more than one tRNA (with a specific anti-codon) for a particular amino acid; and 'wobble' base-pairing, i.e. permitting non-standard base-pairing at the 3rd anti-codon position. Lineage: Bacteria; Pseudomonadati; Bacteroidota; Flavobacteriia; Flavobacteriales; Flavobacteriaceae. The record is from RNAcentral.
GGAGAAAUGGCAGAGUGGUCGAAUGCGGCGGUCUUGAAAACCGUUGAGGGGUCACACCCUCCGGGGGUUCGAAUCCCUCUUUCUCCG